UCAUUAUGAAGUCGGAGCUCAUCGAGCAGUA
Molecule: transfer RNA, 31 nt
Filed under: Alexandrium monilatum
Lineage: Eukaryota; Dinophyceae; Gonyaulacales; Pyrocystaceae
Description: partial Selenocysteine transfer RNA
Source: RNAcentral